GAUGAACGCUGGCGGCGUGCCUAAUACAUGCAAGUCGAGCGAACGGACGAGAAGCUUGCUUUUCUGAUGUUAGCGGCGGACGGGUGAGUAACACGUGGAUAACCUACCUAUAAGACUGGGAUAACUUCGGGAAACCGGAGCUAAUACCGGAUAAUAUUUUGAACCGCAUGGUUCAAAAGUGAAAGACGGUCUUGCUGUCACUUAUAGAUGGAUCCGCGCCGCAUUAGCUAGUUGGUAAGGUAACGGCUUACCAAGGCAACGAUGCAUAGCCGACCUGAGAGGGGGGUCGGCCACACUGGAGCUGAGACGCGGCCCUGACUCCUACGAGGGGCCGCAGUAGGGAAUAUUCCGCAACGGGGGAAAGCAUGCCGGAGCAGCGACGCGUGAUGGGUGAAGAUCUUCGGCUCGUAAAAAACCGUUAUUAGGGAAGAACAUAUGUUUAAGUAACUGUGCACAUCUUGACGGUACCUACUAAGAAAGCCACGGCUAACUACGUC
RNAcentral lists this ribosomal RNA (497 nucleotides) under uncultured bacterium. RNAcentral's name for it is "partial 16S ribosomal RNA". It matches the Rfam family "Bacterial small subunit ribosomal RNA", at positions 28 to 507 of the family's 1533-position model. The record is from RNAcentral.